AACGCGAAGAACCUUACCAGGAUUUGACAUCCCACUAACGAAGUAGAGAUACAUUAGGUGCCCUUCGGGGAAAGUCGAGACAGGUGGUGCAUGGUUGUCGUCAGCUCGUGUCGUGAGAUGUUGGGUUAAGUCCCGCAACGAGCGCAACCCUUACCGUUAGUUGCUACGCAAGAGCACUCUAAUGGGACCGCCAUCGACAAGAUGGAGGAAGGUGGGGACGAUGUCAAAUCAUCAUGCCCCUUAUGACCUGGGCUACACACGUACUACAAUGGCCGUUAACAGAGGGAAGCAAUCCCGCGAGGAGGAGCAAACCCCUAAGAACGGUCUCAGUUCAGAUUGCAGGCUGCAACCCGCCUGCAUGAAGUCGGAAUUGCUAGUAAUCGCGGAUCAGCAUGCCGCGGUGAAUACGUUCCCGGGUCUUGUACACACGC
RNAcentral lists this ribosomal RNA (431 nucleotides) under uncultured Clostridium sp. RNAcentral describes it as "bacterial SSU rRNA". It matches the Rfam family "Bacterial small subunit ribosomal RNA", at positions 958 to 1393 of the family's 1533-position model. The record is from RNAcentral. Lineage: Bacteria; Bacillati; Bacillota; Clostridia; Eubacteriales; Clostridiaceae.